UUUUAGUUUAGUGGCGGACGGGUGAGUAACGCGUGGGUAACCUGCCCUAUACAGGGGGAUAACAGUUGGAAACGACUGUUAAUACCGCAUAAGCGCACAGGAGCGCAUGCUCCGGUGUGAAAAACUCCGGUGGUAUAGGAUGGACCCGCGUCUGAUUAGCUGGUUGGCGGGGUAACGGCCCACCAAGGCGACGAUCAGUAGCCGGCCUGAGAGGGUGAACGGCCACAUUGGGACUGAGACACGGCCCAAACUCCUACGGGAGGCAGCAG
This 269-nucleotide ribosomal RNA is filed under the name uncultured bacterium. RNAcentral's name for it is "partial 16S ribosomal RNA". It matches the Rfam family "Bacterial small subunit ribosomal RNA", at positions 85 to 354 of the family's 1533-position model. The record is from RNAcentral.